Molecule: long non-coding RNA, 1967 nt
Organism: Strigops habroptila (Kakapo)
Lineage: Eukaryota; Metazoa; Chordata; Aves; Psittaciformes; Psittacidae
Source: Ensembl
CUCCACUGAGUCUUUCUCCUAUUCUUUUUCUUUUUUUAUCUCUCUCUCUUUUUCUCUAUGUCAUGCUCCCUUUUCUCAUUGCAGGGAAAAAAACCCCACCCUCUCCCAGGAAUGAAAAAGUGAUGGAGACGUGGUCUUUAUAUUUUACUGGGAAAAGGGGGUCAAAGUCAAAGGUGUUGGCAUGACCCUGCUGUUGUACAGCAUUAAGUGUAGUACAAGGUUUCAAGUACAGAGACCUCCGCCUGCCCAUGGCACCAUAGCAACCAACACUAUUAAUGAUGUUUAAGCUGUAUAGUGAAGACUCAGAAAAAGGAGGAGGGGAAAAAAAGCAGUUACAGUAUUUGAAAUGUAAAGUAUUAAGUGAGGCUUUCAUGUUAACAAUAUCCUUUCUUCAUUUUCCCCUUAGCUGUGAAGAAUUUUUAUAAGGAAACCCCUAUUUGACAGUGCAAAAAAAAAAAAAAAAAGAAUGCUAAUUACUAUCCUUUCUUUAGGGGAAAAGAGAAAUUAGUUGAAAUAGGUGGGAAACUGCAGUCGUUGCUGAAGAUUUGAAGGGGAGAGAGAAUAGCAGUGCUAGACAAUGCUUCUUUUCUGGUGCCAACUCCUCUUAAAAGCUCUGCUGCUGAAGAAAAACAGAUUUGUAAGCCACUGUGGGACUUACCCUACUCAUACCUGGAUUGGAGCCUCCAGCUCUCUCCCCAGGCCUCUUGCUGAAGAUGCAGCCUUCAAAAGAUGAGCAGUUUAUUAGACAGAAGCCAAAAGGUAAGAAAUAGGAACAGGAAGGAAACCACCAUGUGGGGCCUUGGAGAAGAGCAUGGGAAUCUCAGCUGUGCAUUGAAAGUGCUCUUUGGGAGCUUUUAUGGGAAAUGGGUGUUUCCUGGACCCCCAGCUCUGCAUGUUUUUGUGAUCAGGACAAUGUAGCUCACCAGUGCCAGAGAGGAUGCCAGCCUGUGAGUCAGAGUUCACUUUGGAAGAGGUGGGAUCAGGUUGGUUGGCUCCAAAUUUCUUUUCUAUUUUAACUUUUCUAAACACUCUAGAUAAGUUGAUGUCUUUUCAUCUGAGUUAUACUCAAUUCCUUACAGCAGAUUUGGCCUCUUAAUUUUGAUACUUUCUCUGCCGUUGCUUACAAGGCAGGCUCUUCAGACAGUCCAGGGGUGGGAUCAGCAGCUCUUUUCAUUCAUUUGUUUAAUUUCUUUUGUCUUCAACCCCUGAAAAACCCUACAAGACACCUGGCUUGCCCUUUUGUGCCACAGGCUGCCAGGGUUUUACACAGCUGAGUGUGUUUGUGGGGUGGAUGCAAAAGUGAAGGAGGGUGGGUGAUUGCUCCAUUCCACAACUGCAAGGGCACAGAGAGGCAUGGACCAUCCUUAUGUUCUUCCUUGAGGCACCUGCUAGCAGCUGGUGGCAGAGGUGGGAUCUUAUACUAACUGGGGCUUUCUUCUGUUCCAAAUACUGCUCAGCUUAUGGCUCCACUGAAAAGGAUGUGAGCGUUACCUUAGACCAUAAGCAAGACCAGGAAAAAAGAGCAGCAUCACAAAUGUAUAAAUAACUGUUCUCACCAGCUGAUGCACGAAUCUUUCCUCUAAACUUUCUGCCUGAUUACCUGGGAGGUUAAAGGAGUGCAGGGCUGAGCUGCUGUUUCUCAGCUGGUGUUGCUUCUUUAAGGUUGUUCCUUGACAGCCUGAGAUUUUUCUUGCUCCCUCUUUGAUCCAGCUUGGACUCCAAGAAAGCUGGGAACUCAUCCCUCUCCCAGUUUGAACUGUAUGUGAUUAAUUACAGAUCCUGAGAAUGGGCUGCUUGCCUAUCUUUCAUGUUUAAAUUGCUUUCCAAGCAAUUUUGCAAGGCUAAGGAGCCUCUUUAGAUGUUACAUCUGACUGUGCCUUGGUCAAGCGUCCCUUGGUUUUUCUGGGAGCUGCAUCUGAUUCACAGUGAAUUUGAGAACACAUUAAACUGAGUGUUUUGUACAUGGA